RNAcentral lists this unclassified non-coding RNA (297 nucleotides) under Zea mays. RNAcentral describes it as "misc RNA Zm00001eb057450". The record is from RNAcentral. Lineage: Eukaryota; Viridiplantae; Streptophyta; Magnoliopsida; Poales; Poaceae.
CCAUCCUCCUCAUCCUCACAGAUUGUACACUUAUCACCUGAAAGCAGAAAGUCCUUGGCUACUUGCAUGUCUUCUUUGAACUCUGGACGCCGGGCCUCUGGAUGCUCAAAGUGGCAGCUCGAAGAUUUCCUCUUCCCUUGCUGCGAUGUGUUUCCUGCAGAUCCAUGCAAUGUGGCCGUCAUCUCUGUAUCGAACACGCCACAGGCCAAAUCUCUGUGCUAUGUCCAUCCCCGUCAGAACCCCUUGCCCUUUCAAGAAAUCCACAAGCCAUUGCCUGGCUGCUGUCAUAUCCUCUCC